CUGUAGGACACCAGAUAAAUUUGUAAAUGUCACUUAAAGAUUAAAAACAACUCUGGAAUUCAAACUUCUAGAUGACAGUGUAAAGUGCCUGGUAAAUGAUUAGUAAUAAUGUCUCUGGAGAACACACGAAGUGUGUCAGUGCACCAACUUGGAACAAGAUUUCCAGGACAAGAAAAAGCAUCAGCCACACAUGUCCAGCUGUCAGAUCUCCUUCAUCAAGGAAUAUUUGCGAGACUCAUAAAAGCAUCCGAAGAGAGAGAGAGUCGGUCGUUCUAUCCUCUGAGCAAGGAAAGAGAAGCUUGUGCAUGGCCGGUGCAUGUUCCAGAGGAAGAAAGGCAGUGGGUGAGAGGGACACUUUGGGCCAGGCAACCAGUCCCAGGAGCACCCAGAACUGCAGCCCCGCCCCGUGGCCUGCGUCUAGGCCUCUGCCAGAUCUCCUGGGCCUCUCUGCAAAGAGCUCAAGCACUGCUGGUUUCCACAGCUUUCGAACUCAGCCCGAAGCUUCCUCGGCUACACUGAGGUGCUGGCCCUGCAUCCCUGAGUCACAGCACACACCGACCACUCCAGAGCCGCUCCCCGGCUGGCAUCAUAUGCAUGGCCAGUGUCUACCAUCUCCCACCGAAGACUUUGCCCAGCUCAAGACCAAGGAGACCAGCCGUGAAGACAUAGAAUUGAAUGGAGACAUUGUACCCACCCUGACCAGCUCAGAGCCAUGGCCCAGGACAGACUACAGCCUAUCAGGAACCAGCACCACAGAGCAGGUCGUGGUGCAGAACCUGCCUGAAACUCUCAAAUAGAGACUCUUGCAGUCUGAACGGUCAACGAUGCCUUCGUAUUUCUGAAGCAGUUUUACAACUUUCUGAAAUAUUAAGAAUAUCCUCAUGCAAAACACCUGUUCUGUACUAGGCAAUCCGGCGAACUGACUCAAGAAAGACAGAAAUGCUGUCAAAUUGCACAGAGCACACUUCCAAGUCAUGUGGGCUUCUGGGGGGAAUGAAAGGUCUGCCACCCUUCCCAGGGGGCAGCUGCCAGCGUGGAAAGGGACUGGCUUCUUGUGAACAACACAGGCCCUUGCAGAAGCGUGAGCGAGAGAACGAAUAUCCAGGCAGACAGUCACCAGAUCAAACAUAAAGACGGAGCCCUGACCCCUGGCCUGCACCCCCAAAAAGCCUUCUCUAUAGCAAGCAGUGGAAGUCAAAGUUGAAGCCACUUCACUCCCCUGAGUGAACAUCCAGACAGUAAUCUCCAACGAGUGGCCCCAAAUGGCUGUGACUUCGCUGAGUAACAGACAGCCUCUCUAAUGUUAGUCCCUCCUCCUAACUUAGGACUGACUGAAGCAAUUAUGCUCCUCUGACCCUCCUGCAGGGUGCCAGGUUUCUAGCAGGCUGACCUCAGCUCCCCCAGGCCAGCGCCCUCCGUCCAGGACCCUCGAAGCCUCUUUGCCCACUACAAAGCCCUCCCGCACCCGCGCCUGACCUUCAGGCCCUCUCUCCUCUCCAGUGACGCUGCCAACUCCAGUGCCCUAGCCAGCAAUUAACUCCAUUUCACAGGCUAUCUUGGCUCUGCUCCAAACGGCCAGAGGCUGCUUUUGACAACUUGAUGCUUCUAAGUGACGCUGCCAGAAAGGCCACGGGCAUAAUGGUCAGGUGGAACUCUGAGACCUCAGCCCACACGGGGCUUUUGUUGGAUGUGAAUUCCAUUUGAUGCUGGUUUUGUUUAAUAACAAUUUUUAAAGCAGGCUUCUGAAAAGGUCCAACCAGAAAUGAUGCGAACUGGGAAUAUCUCCUAGGUGCAAAGUCACCUGUCACAUGACACCUGCCCUCCAGAGUGGCUCCCUUCAGUCGCUCAGCAGCACUUUCACUGGACGCUUCUGGGACGUGACACGGGAUGGCUCCCUGGGCCCUGUCUCUCUGAGGCUCCUUCCAGCAAGCCCGAAGCUCCUCACCAUCCAGUGCCUGUCACUUCUGCUGAUCUGCUAUUGCUUCUGGGCCAAGCUCAUUCAGGCCCCAGUGUCACACAUGAAGCCAGGCCUAGUGGUGCACACUUGCACUCCCAGUACCCUGGGAGGCUGAGGCAGGAGGAUUCCAAGUUUUGGUUUCCCCACCACCAAUACCCAUUUCUAAGCUCUCAGCUUUGCUCUUAACUAAAGCCAAGACAUUGCCCAGUCUCCUCCACCAAAUGGGCCCCACUGCCUUGUUCAUAAGAUAAAUGGGAAGACUAAAUUAUUUCCAACUUCCCACUGAUUUUUAAAACCAUGUAGUGAAAUAAGAGGAGAGACUGUCCCUGUGCAAUACAGCUGGUGAAAGGCAAAGCCCGGCAAGACCAGAGCGAUGCUGUGUCCCAGGCACCAUGGGGUCAGCUCUGCUGCCCACUCCCCAAAAAGACUCUUGCAGAAUACUGAAGUCAAACUCAUCAGAAUGCUCACUCCUACAAGAUCUGAGCAUGUUUAAGAAGGCAUGAAGUCUGAUCAAAAAGCUACUGUGAUUGUACAAUUAUUUUUGAACAAAUUUAUUACAGUAAAAGACCCAUUGCCAUUCGUACUCCCCCUGAGUUUGAACACAGUUAUGUCAUUGUCCUUGCCACACUCUGAAGCAACUCUGGAGUCCUCCUUCCUGAGCAUCUCUUUGUGGGUGCCUGGAUGCUAUAAAUUGAUUCAAAACCUUUACAGCAGGUUCUGUUAAUUCAAAACAUGACACUGUGUCCUCAUCCACCUUAGGCACAAGGUUUGGCACCCUGCCACUUCUGGUUCUUCUAUAAAGUCAAAGUGACCAUGAAAGGUCGUGUGUCUUAGCAAUGGAUCUUUUACUAUAGUAUUUUUAAAAUGUAAACAUUCACCAUAGAUUUUGAUCAUGCAAGACUUUGACUGAAAGGGAACAGCACAGCAUCAGCUGAAACCACCCAGCACCUCCUAUUCAAAGGCUGAGGCUCAACCCAAGGGUCAUGAGAGCUCAACAUUCUGUGGAAGAACCGAAUAUUCAUUUCAUCUGAAAGACUUUAUCAGUGUUAUUUUGCAAGCAUACAUUCUUAAUUUUUAAGGAAACAGCUGACUUAAUCAUCAUGAUGUGGAGAAUACUGAAAAUGUUGAAUUUUGAGAUUCUCUCUUUCUGUCUGCAGGUUGCUAUGGAGCCUAUGGCCCCCAAAGCUCAAUGCCAUCUUUAUCUUUGACUUCUUGCAGGGUCUGUUAUGGACAUGCACCAAGCCUGACUCUCACAGAAUAAGGUCCCAAGCUCUUGUUCAUGCAUUUUUAAUCUUUGAAAUGCUCCCAACAUUUCAAAACAGCAUAAAGAACGACCACCCCAGCGUGGCCUCCAGGGCUCCCUCCUCAGCCUCCCAGCCCUGGGCCCCUUCCUGUCCCUUCCUUUUUUGAUACCAAUGCCUGAAUGUUCCUCCUCCUUCAUUAUCAGUUUUCUCCAGCUACACAUUUCUUCCUCCUGGCCUGCAGAAGUGAUGCUGCUGGCCCUCUAAGCUCACAGCAAUCUUCGUUAUCUCUUUCACCAAUACCACAUGAUGCUGUGAUAUUCGGUCCAUGUAUGUCUCUUACUCAAAGCUCUGAGAGGGCAGGGACUGGGUCUGUUUUGCUCCACACUCCAGCCCAGGAAUCAGCAGUCUGUGUCUGCAGCUAGAUGCUGGAUGUCUGUGUUUUCUCUGCUUGUUGAUGAGCCCGCAGAAGCCCAGUUAGAUCUAUUAUGCUUUGCUGCAGAGCAGAUUCUCAGGAUUGAUAAAUAGUUAUGAACCCUCUGAACCCACUAGAUUCCAGUGCAAAAGCAUUUCUCCAUUGGAACGAGCAUCCCACACCAUGAGCACAAGACCCAGCACAAGAUGCAUACCCGGAAACGUCUGAGUUAGCGAAAUACAGGACUGUUGAGCCUGUGACAAUCCUGUUCAGCCCUGGCUGGCCUUCAUCUACCUUGGCCAGAUCUGGCCUUUCAAGGGCUUCUCACUAAAUAAUUAAUUGAAGCUCAUUGGAGGCUUUGAGCUCAACAAACAGUCCAGCUUGGCUUGACUUAUGCUCUUAUCUGGUAAGAAUUUCUUUUCCACAAAUAGCUCAAUUCCCAGGAUGAACCCGAGGCACUGAUGGAGAGGGGAAGGUGACAUGUUCAAGGCCCUAGCCUGAGAUAAUGUGAUUUCCCCAUUUUAAUAUUGCCACCAUUGUGCACAAUUAAAAGGCUGGCUGUUCCACAGGAAAUGGGAAUUAUUUGAGGCAAAUGAAGAUGCCCCCACACUGCCCUGCAUCAACACUGCCUGACCUGGCACCUGUGUAAGUCGUGACUCCUGCCUCUAAUUCUGUCCUGGGAUUUCACUGGUGGAAGAUCCCUUCGUAUAAAAUUCUUUAUUUUUUAAACUGACACAUAAUAUCCGUACACAGUUAUGGGCACAUGAUCAUUUGAUAUCUACAUUCAGCAUAUGACAAUCAGAUCAGAGAAGCAGCACUUCCGUCUUCUCCGACAUUUAUCAGACGUUUAUCAUUUCUAUGUUUGGGGAACUUGUGGACUCCUCCUUUUUAGCUAUUUGGAAGUAUAUCACAAAUCGUUGCAGACUGUAGGCUCCCUCCUGGAUAUAGAAGACAGGAACUAUCUCCUCCUAUCUGACUGUUUGGCUCCUAUUAUCUCAACUCUGCAUCGCCUGUCCCCUCCACCCCCUUCCAGUCUCUGGUGAGACUCCUCCAUGCCUUCUCUGACAUGCGUAAGUUGGCAUUUCUCAAAGUAUAGGUUUGGGCUGCUUGCCCUCAAGGUGAUCAGUGGAGAAAAGUUUCCUAGAUCAAAAUAAUGUGGGGAUCUAAGGGCUGCUCUGAACCUGACUGCAGCUCUUUGCUUCAGCUCUUCGCUCACCCAGCACCUCCCCAGCCAGCUGUGGAAUCCUCAGUACCUGUGACUGUGACACGAACUUCAGAAGACAGGGAAGCAGAGCCCAGAGCAGAAGCUGGCAAGGGCUCUCAGUGCAGAGUCCAAUGGGAAGUCUUACACUUUUCAAGGCACACUGGGCUUCUGUGGCUUGCACAUGCUUUUACUUAGUGGAUUUUUGCUGUUGUUUUUCUGCCAAUGCUUUAAAGUAGUUUGUCCCAAGCAGGCCAAAGGCUGGUUUUUCCAGAGCAGCAGCCCUUCACCCAUCUCUGCUGCAGAAAAUCCUUCCCUGGGGCCUGGGAUUUAUUUCAGUGGUUCUGCCACCUGUCUCGCAAAUGCAAGGUCCCAAGUUCGAUCCUGGUACCAAAAAGAAAAAAGCAAAAAAGAAAGAAAGAAAAGAAAAAUCCUUCCCUGGUAACCAGCUGCCAGGCUGGCCCAAGCAGAACAAGCUUCCACCACACUGAGUCACCCUCGAUCAUCUUGUACUCCACCCUUCAGACAUCCAGGGUGAUCUUGUUACCAUGAAAGCAGUUCCUCAGCCAUUUGCUAAGAAUAAGCUUUAUUCUAAGAUGCUAAUGACACCUCAGUCCAUCCCUGUGCCUGCAUUGGGUGGUGCGUGGGUGGCCACACCAGCCCCAAAGGGACCCUAGGGAAAGUGGUAGCAACCUCACCUCCCCUCCACAGAACCCUCACUGCUGGGACCCCUCCCAAGAAGCUGCUGGCCGAAACCCAUAGCUGGCUGUACCUACUUCACAGCAGCAUGCAGGGCGGGAGGUCACUGCCCGGGCCACCUGCUCUGAAGGCAUCUCUAGCAGCUCCCAUGUCCUCUCUGCAAGCUUUUCCCACAGAGCUUGGCCCAACCCAAGGCUGUGGAAUCAUAAACACCUGGGUUUAUCUUGUUUACAUGGUAACACUGUUUGUGUGAUCUUUAACAGGUUAACAAAUCUCUUUAACUCUGUUUCUUCAUCUGAAAUGUGGCACCAUCACAUCCCUUGCUGUGCUGCAGGGAGUGGUCAUGGAGGCCAGGUAGGAAACCACCCAGAGAGGGCUGAACCUUCUUCCCCCGACCCUCCACGGUACCCCCAGGAACGCGCCUUGAUCCCCAGGACGAAGUCUGAGAUCGUUGCACUUAAAAAGAACAACAGAACGUGAAACAAAUGAAAAAUCACUAGGCUGGGCACAGGACGACGGGCACCCUCUCAACCCGGGAGCUGGGAGAGCUCAAGGUGACACGGAGCUGAAAUCCCAGCAGGAGGAACCUCGGACCUGCUGCAGAACAGAAGGAAGCAGAUUUGGGCAGAACGAGCAGCAGGAACAAAGGCAGAGAGAACCCAGGGCCCAGGAACGGGUGGCAGUGGCCUGCAGGCAUGCAGAGCAGGUGGCACAGGGGCAGAGGCCGGGUGUGCUCCCAGGCAGGGGGCAGCUGGCUCCUGUGAACACAGGCAACCCCCAGCCCUCCCCUCGCCACCUUCUCUCUGCUGGCUGGGCACCCCUCACCCCACCACUGUGGCCACAAAGCAGGAAGCACAGCCACUGUGUCCAGGACCUGCCUCCGCUUUUAGGUUACAGCCCCCGGGAGCCCUGACCCUCUCCUUACUCUGUUCCCAUGGUGUGCAAAACACUUGCCUGCAAACUGCCCUGAGCUCUGCCUUCAACCUGGUCCUUGGAAAUAAAUCUAAACACAGGUGAAGCUGGUGUAGGCCACCGUCCAUUAUGUUUCCCCUUCAAAGACGGGCAGAGCCCCUCCUGCUAAAGCUGCGUUGCUGCAAUGGAUAAAGAGCACUGUUAGCUCUAGACCCCAAAUUAUUCAUUUAUUUAAACUGAAAAAUAACUC
Molecule: long non-coding RNA, 6675 nt
Organism: Heterocephalus glaber (naked mole-rat)
Lineage: Eukaryota; Metazoa; Chordata; Mammalia; Rodentia; Bathyergidae
Source: Ensembl